ACGAACGCUGGCGGCGUGCUUAACACAUGCAAGUCGAACGAUGAACCACUUCGGUGGGGAUUAGUGGCGAACGGGUGAGUAACACGUGGGCAAUCUGCCCUUCACUCUGGGACAAGCCCUGGAAACGGGGUCUAAUACCGGAUAACACUUCCACUCUCCUGGGUGGUGGUUAAAAGCUCCGGCGGUGAAGGAUGAGCCCGCGGCCUAUCAGCUUGUUGGUGAGGUAAUGGCUCACCAAGGCGACGACGGGUAGCCG
Molecule: ribosomal RNA, 256 nt
Filed under: Streptomyces sp. ISO332_OTU2594
Lineage: Bacteria; Bacillati; Actinomycetota; Actinomycetes; Kitasatosporales; Streptomycetaceae
Description: partial 16S ribosomal RNA
Rfam family: Bacterial small subunit ribosomal RNA
Source: RNAcentral